This 400-nucleotide ribosomal RNA is filed under the name uncultured bacterium. RNAcentral describes it as "bacterial SSU rRNA". It matches the Rfam family "Bacterial small subunit ribosomal RNA", at positions 356 to 773 of the family's 1533-position model. The record is from RNAcentral.
GGGGAAUAUUGGACAAUGGGGGCAACCCUGAUCCAGCCAUGCCGCGUGAGUGAUGAAGGCCUUAGGGUUGUAAAGCUCUUUUGUCCGGGAAGAUAAUGACUGUACCGGAAGAAUAAGCCCCGGCUAACUUCGUGCCAGCAGCCGCGGUAAUACGAAGGGGGCUAGCGUUGUUCGGAAUCACUGGGCGUAAAGCGCACGUAGGCGGAUCGUUAAGUCAGAGGUGAAAUCCCGGAGCUCAACUUCGGAACUGCCUUUGAUACUGGCGAUCUCGAGUCUGGAAGAGGUUAGUGGAACUGCGAGUGUAGAGGUGAAAUUCGUAGAUAUUCGCAAGAACACCAGUGGCGAAGGCGGCUAACUGGUCCAGUACUGACGCUGAGGUGCGAAAGCGUGGGGAGCAAAC